Molecule: small RNA, 580 nt
Filed under: Pongo abelii (Sumatran orangutan)
Lineage: Eukaryota; Metazoa; Chordata; Mammalia; Primates; Hominidae
Description: retained intron
Source: RNAcentral
GUCCUCAGGGAGGGUGAGUCGGCGCGGCGGGCGCGGACUCGGGUUGUCUUCGGUCCGAGUGCUCCUGGUCGCUUCCUGCGCCCUCCCGCCUUCGGCACUGCGGUCCCCGCGUCCCCCGGGCCUCCAGUCGGGAAAGCGCGGGGGCUUUGCGGGGCCCUGAGCGCCUGGCGUGGGAGGUGGUCGAGCCCAGCCACCUUCCCCCGCAGCGGCGCGAGGUGGGCUUCGUUUGGCCGAGUCUGCCAGCUCCCCGCAGACCCCGCUCGUGGCAGCCACGGUGUCAGGGGCCUGAGUAAGGUCUCUCGGCCAGAACGCGUGGAUGCCCACCCACCACUGAGCCUCAUGCAGGAUUCCUGGUUUUCAAGCCUGAGCUGAUCUCCCGGCUGGAGCAGGGAGAAGAGCCGUGGGUCCUCGACCUGCAGGGAGCAGAGGGGACAGAGGCACCAAGGACCUCCAAGACAGAUUCUACGAUUAGGACGGAGAAUAAGCAGGUCUGUGAGGACAUGGACAUCCUAAAAUCAGAAUCCUAUGGGACAGUGGUCAGAAUCUCCCCACAGGACUUUCCUCAGAAUCCUGGCUUUGG